This 379-nucleotide ribosomal RNA is filed under the name uncultured bacterium. Its description in RNAcentral is "bacterial SSU rRNA". It matches the Rfam family "Bacterial small subunit ribosomal RNA", at positions 130 to 540 of the family's 1533-position model. The record is from RNAcentral.
CCAGUUCUACGGAACAACUGAGGGAAACUUCAGCUAAUACCGUAUACGCCCUACGGGGGAAAGAUUUAUCGGAAUUGGAUGAGCCCGCGUAAGAUUAGCUAGUUGGUGGGGUAAUGGCCUACCAAGGCGACGAUCUUUAGCUGGUCUGAGAGGAUGAUCAGCCACACUGGGACUGAGACACAGCCCAGACUCCUACGGGAGGCAGCAGUGGGGAAUAUUGGACAAUGGGCGCAAGCCUGAUCCAGCCAUGCCGCGUGAGUGAUGAAGGCCUUAGGGUUGUAAAGCUCUUUCAGUGGGGACGAUAAUGACGGUACCCACUAGAAGAAGCCCCGGCUAACUUCGUGCCAGCAGCCGCGGUAAUACAAUCACUAGUGAAUUC